CUACAGGGAAGCACCUUCCUUGCCUACCUCGUGACGUUGUGUCAUAAAUUCGCUUCUCCUACAGGCUAGGUCAGAAAAGGCCAAGCAGCUGCCACCGGUU
Molecule: long non-coding RNA, 100 nt
Organism: Eptesicus fuscus (big brown bat)
Lineage: Eukaryota; Metazoa; Chordata; Mammalia; Chiroptera; Vespertilionidae
Exons: 3
Source: RefSeq, a predicted model, not a curated record